Long non-coding RNA from Peromyscus eremicus (cactus mouse), 1678 nucleotides. RefSeq lists it as uncharacterized. NCBI's taxonomy places the organism in Eukaryota, Metazoa, Chordata, Mammalia, Rodentia, Cricetidae. The transcript is spliced from 4 exons. The record is from RefSeq and is a predicted model, not a curated record.
CAAGGUUCUAGAAAGUCUGGUGGAGCACCUAGGUAGUCAAGGUGAUUUCUUUAUCACACGUGCUGUGGGGAAGCUGUGAUCUAUGGAUGAUUCCUGCCCAGUAUCUCCUGCCCCACUACCUUGGAGAGCUAGGUGCUGGCUCAUCCUUUGCUUGGUAAGACCAAGCAGUUGCAAAGUGUCUCAGUGUUGUAUGUAAGAUGCCAUGUGACGAGCCAGCUUUCUGCUUCAGGAGCCAGCCUUCACUGCUGGGAUGGGAUGACCCCCAUGAACCGUGAGCCAGAACAAGCCCUUCUUCCUUUAAGUUGCUUAUAGCAGGGGGAAAGUACUAGACAAUGGAAUUUUGGAGCAACCCCACAAAGAAAGGACCACUGAAGACUCAGAUCCUAUAGGAAUAAAGAUGAAGUCACUCUACAGAUGUCUUGCUGCAAACAGAGAGGGAAUGUUGCAUGAAGCAAGGGCACCGCGAAUGCCAAGUUGGACCUUAAAAAAGAAACACAUGGGACUAAAUGAUCUAUUUCUAAGGAAGCUGUGGAAAGUCUGAACAGAACGCAUUGUGAGAACUGCGCUUCCCCUUCACGCAUCAGGAACACAGACUUUGCCUGAGAGAAGGCAGAGUCUCAUCAAUAUUUAACAGACAAGAUUCUCAGCCUCAAUUUGCAUCUUUGAGAGAUUAAGAAUACCAGAUAGUCUUUACUGGGAAAAGCAGGCCUAAGGUUUUGAUUUACUACAGAGAAAGGCUUUCAAUGGGCUUCUGUGCUCUGAGGAGAUUUGAGGAUGAUCUUCAUGAUGAUGGACUCAACUUGCCUUGUAAGUACAUAGAAUUAUUACACACUAGUCACUCUUCCUGCUUUUGUGAUCAGAUACCCAAUAAGAAGUGAUUUAAGAGAGGAAAGGCUUAUUUUGACUCACAGUUUGAAGGGAUACAGUCCAGUAUGAAGAAGAAGGCAUGGCAGGCGGCAGCCUCAUGAGGUAGGAGUGUGUGGCUGGGAAUCUCCACCUCCUCACAUCUUGAUGGAACAAGAGUCAGAGAGUGGACAGGGAGCUGAGCUGGCUUACCAAAUCUGAAGGCCAGCUUCCAGUGACUCACUUCCUGCAAAGAGACUAUCUCCAGAAGGUUCCACAACAUUCCAAAACAGCGCCACCAACUAGGAACCAACUAGUCAAACACCUGAGCCUAUGGGCGACACUGUGCAUCCAAAUCCCAGCACACUGGUUAGCUAAAGAAGUGGAAUGUGGCAGACGGCCCAGGUAAACACAGAAAAGUGUGGUGCUCUGUCAUGCUUUGAAGUUGAAGGUAGACGUGUGUGUGGUGGAAGCAAUGAGGGGUAAAUCGAUGUCACUAAGCAGAUUCUAGGUGCUUCUUUGCCCUGGACUGGAACACAAACCCUGUCAGGAGUGUGGCCAACUCUUGUGAUCACAGCUCAAUCAGUCCGAGGCUCAAAGCCACAAUAUUAAAAUACUGAGAAGACGGGAUUAUACCCUUCUCGUAUUUAUGCAAAUCUGUUCUUCAAGUCAGAUCCGUACCCCUGGGACACAUGAGGCACGAGAAUGGAAAAUGCUAUUUGGUUGUGCCAUGGUGGGCUGAUUUUCUUUCUUUUGAUUUAAGUGUGGACAAAUAUAUAGCUGUCUUUAGAGAAUUAUUUAAAGAAAUAAAAAUAACCAUUUUGGGUAAACAAAA